RNAcentral lists this ribosomal RNA (253 nucleotides) under uncultured bacterium. RNAcentral's name for it is "partial 16S ribosomal RNA". It matches the Rfam family "Bacterial small subunit ribosomal RNA", at positions 524 to 776 of the family's 1533-position model. The record is from RNAcentral.
UACGAAGGGGGCUAGCGUUGCUCGGAAUCACUGGGCGUAAAGCGCACGUAGGCGGCUUUUUAAGUCAGGGGUGAAAUCCUGGAGCUCAACUCCAGAACUGCCUUUGAUACUGAGAAGCUCGAGUCCGGGAGAGGUGGGUGGAACUGCGAGUGUAGAGGUGAAAUUCGUAGAUAUUCGCAAGAACACCAGUGGCGAAGGCGGCUCACUGGCCCGGUACUGACGCUGAGGUGCGAAAGCGUGGGGAGCAAACAGG